RNAcentral lists this long non-coding RNA (370 nucleotides) under Brassica napus (rape). Its description in RNAcentral is "long non-coding RNA (BNAP_LNC017051)". The record is from RNAcentral. Lineage: Eukaryota; Viridiplantae; Streptophyta; Magnoliopsida; Brassicales; Brassicaceae.
UAAUAAAUUAUUGACUCAUUUAAAAAAUAUUAAUAAAUUAAUGACUCAGCUAAAACUAAUUAAAACAUAACAAAUAAGCAAAAUUACCAAAAAUAAUUGAAAUCAUGACAAAUAAGCAAAAUCAAUUCAUAAAUUAAUUACUUAGCUAAAAACUAAUAAUAAUUUAAUGACUAUGCUAUAACCUAAUAAAAAUAUGACAAAUAAGCAAAAGUAACUAAAAUCAUGGAGAACAUGACAUAUAAAAAAUAUCAAAUAAUUAUAUAUAUGGUUACAAAUUUCAUAGUUAUAUUAUUUAAAUUAAUAAAUUAUUGACUCAGAAAAAACUAUUAAUAACUUAAUGACUCAGCUUAAACAUAACUAAAAAUAUGAC